CUGUGCAACACUGCCCCAGGAAGCACCUCUAGUGGCCACUUCUCAGAUGGCCACUGGAGGUGCUUCCUGGGGCAGUGUUGCACAG
Molecule: non-coding RNA, 85 nt
Organism: Pelobates cultripes (western spadefoot toad)
Lineage: Eukaryota; Metazoa; Chordata; Amphibia; Anura; Pelobatidae
Source: the annotation of a GenBank genome assembly